AAAAAUGUACACAAGAUGGUGAUCCAUCUACAUGACUAUUUGUGUCGCAGUGACUUUGAGAAGAACGCAGAGCUGGCACAGUUAGUGCAGCAGAAGCUGGACGCAUACAAAGCGGACGAGCCAACCAUGGGCGAGGGGCCGGAGAAGGCGAGGUCACAAUUAAUCAUCCUGGACCGAGGCUUUGACUGCGUGUCCCCGCUCCUGCACGAGCUCACUUUGCAGGCCAUGGCGUACGACCUUCUGCCCAUCGAGAAUGAUGUUUACAAGUACGAAGCGACAGCUGGAAGCCCAGAGAAGGAGGUACUACUUGAUGAGAAUGAUGAACUGUGGGUAGAUCUACGCCACCAACACAUUGCUGUUGUGUCUCAAAACGUGACAAAGAAUUUGAAGAAGUUCAUUGAGUCCAAGCGAGUGCCACAGGGCGACAAGCAAUCGAUGCGGGACUUGUCACAGAUGAUCAAGAAGAUGCCACAGUACCAGAAGGAAUUGAGCAAGUAUGCUACCCAUCUCCACUUGGCCGAAGACUGCAUGAAGGCGUACCAGGGCUAUGUUGACAAGCUUUGCAAGGUGGAACAGGACCUAGCAAUGGGAACAGACGCUGAGGGAGAGCGUAUCAAGGAUCACAUGCGCAACAUUGUGCCGAUCCUAUUGGACCAGGCCGUCUCCAACUAUGACAAGAUGAGGAUCAUCCUGCUGUAUAUCCUCUCUCGCAACGGCAUCUCCGAGGAGAACCUCAACAAGUUGGUGCAGCAUGCACAGAUCUUACCGCAGGAGAAGCAGGCCAUCAUCAACAUGGCCAACUUAGGCGUCAAUGUCGUCGUCGAGGGUAACAGGAAGAAGAUGUAUCAGAUUCAAAGGAAAGAGCGCAUCACUGAGCAAACUUACCAGAUGUCACGUUGGACUCCUGUUGUGAAGGAUCUUAUUGAGGAUGCCAUCGAAGACAAACUGGAUGUGAAACACUUCCCUUACCUCGGUGGUCGAGCAGCCUCCUCCGGCUACCAUGCUCCAACAAGUGUGAGGUAUGGCCACUGGCACAAGGACAAGGGUCAGCCCACAGUAAAGAAUGUCCCUCGUAUCAUCAUUUUCUUUGUUGGUGGUGUCAGCUUCUCUGAGAUCAGCUGUGCUUAAAUAGUUGAUAUUUUGCACUCACUAAUAUUGUGCUUACAUAUGUUUCAGUGUGAGGUAUGGCCACUGGCACAAGGACAAGGGUCAGCCCACAGUGAAGAAUGUCCCUCGUAUCAUCAUUUUCUUUGUUGGUGGUGUCAGCUUCUCUGAGAUCCGCUGUGCUUAUGAGGUCACUUCUGCUAACAAGAACUGGGAAGUCAUUAUCGGUUCCUCUCAUAUUUUAACUCCUGAGGAUUUCCUGAGCAAUCUGGCAAACUUGAGCACUUAAGCACAGGCUUCAGCUAGAUGCAUUGCUGACAGCGGCCUACUUGCUACCAGCACUACCAACCGUUGUUUGUUAUGAACUCAACAUUCCUCUCUUUUCUUUCAAUUUUUAAUUUGCUUAAUUUGUAAUUAAUUGUUUUAGUAUAGUUUGCUUUUAAGUGAAUUGGAGAUUUGUUAUAUUUAUGUUAGCUUAUAAUAUGAUGGCUAGUUGAUUAUAUGAUGUUUAGAAAAGGUAAUAAUAAAAGCAUAAGUGAUAAAGACAUAAUCUCUAACUAUUGUAGUGAACACAGCGUUUCAUUUAUUAUCAUCAGAAGGCUGUCUUAAAUGAUAAAUCUAUGUUGUAACCAAGAUGGUUAGACGAAACAGUAGCUUAGCUUAGCUGUUUAUUAUCUUCUGAUGAGAUGUGUAGUCAUUCAAGUUACAUACCUUUGUAUUGUACAUUUAUUUGGCAAUUAAUCUUAUCUGCUUUUUGCCUUGUUUAUUACUUUGUACAUAUGUUUUAUGUAUAAUCAUUUCAACAAUAUAAUUUGGUUUAAAAUCAAAAUAAACAAACAACUUUUUAAAGUAAAUUCCAAAAUUAUUUUAAAAUUCAUAAUAUUUUACUCGUGUUUAUCACCAACACCAUUUCCAGUCAUUUAAUCUUCAUUUAUUUCAUUAGAUUUUGAUCUAAAAUAUAUUUUCAAUGUACAUUGUACAUAUGAGAGCUUAGUGGAAAUUUAAAUUGUUAAUCUUUACUCAUGGACGUUUAAAGUAGAUUAAUAAUAUUUAAAGGUAUUUAUAUUCAGACUUUUAUUUAAAGAAUGAAAUAUCAUUUACGUUCUUAUUGUCUGAAAUAAGCACGUUUUUUAAUUUGUACUACAUGUAUAUUGUCUUACAGGGAACUUAUCACAAGAACAGCACAUUUAAUGCGACGCAACUGUCACAAUGUUUCAAAUUUUUGAUUUACUCAAUUUAAAAUGAUUAUUCAUAUUGUAUACCUAAAUAUAUCAAGCAAUAAAUAAAAUCGUUUAUACAAUAAAUGGAAUUCAAUAGUAUCGUAGAUUGAAUUUUACAAUCUUUCAGAUAAAUAUUGAAUCUGAUAUUUAACAUUCAGUUUAAUCUUGUAGAAUCAGUAUCUUACUAGUUCGGCUAGCUCUGUUGUUUGUACUUAAAAGAAAGUAUUACAAUUUUAUAUCCGCUUGAGUCAUAGCAGAGUUAGAGCUUCAUGUCCGUCAGUGUUGAUUGUAUUUCUUGUCUGUGUGUCAGUAGGUGCCAAUAUUGUAUAUAAAGUCUCACCAUUUUCAUUGCCUUAAUAGAUCUUUUAGAUAAAAACACAAUUUUUUGGAUUCUAUUCAAUGUUGAAUGUGUAAAAAUAUUCAGAGAAUGAAUAGUGUAAGACAUCAAACUAACAAAAAGUGUUUUAUGCCGUUUUGCAAAUAAUUUAAAAACUUUUAAAAUUAUUAUUUGCUGUAUUGGAUGUUAAAAUAUAUUUAUUAGUUCUCAUUUACUAUUGGCUCCCGUACAACAAGUGGAAAAAAAAUUAAAUUUAAAUAAGCUGUUACCAAAUUAUUUUUUAACAAAAUAUUGAGUGAACAUUAAAAAUAAUUAGAUACUGGUCUUCAACUAGUUUCACAACCAUCAAAUAUUUGAAUUACUUAUAUUUUCAGGACUGGUGAAUCCAUUUCAUAUAAACCCACUAAAUUGCCAUAGAAAAUAUUAAUAUCAAUCUCUAAGUAGUAUAACAUUAUCAUGUUACUUUAAUUUUUUAAGGAUGUAGUUUUGUUGUAAAUUAUAUACAUUAAGAGGGGUUUGCUUUGAUUAAUAUCUAUAGGCUUAAUAAUUAAAAUAGUUUUUAGUGGUAACUUUAAGAUUUUUGUGUUGAUAAGAAUAUUGUUUACCCUUAAAUAUUGUAGUGUUAUUGUAUAUAGUUUGUCACAGUAUUUUAAUUAGAAUAAAAAAACUCCUGUUAAAGUUAUUUGAAAUAAAGUAUUAAAUACUAAUCGUAACUGUUAAUAUUAUUGUUCGUGAUAAAGUUUUAGUCUUGCCAAAAAUUAUAACUUCAGUUAAACAAGGUUAAUAUUUGUAUAAUUUUUAAAUAUAUUGUUACAAAGGAACUAUUCUGUUAUCGUUUGCACCAAAUUAGCGAGAUUGCACUGUAUUAUUUCAUAACAUUAUACAAUCUUUAAUCUUGAAGAACAAAUUAGCGCUAUACGGUUUGUUAGUAAUCUAAGAAAUUUUAGGAAUGUGAGACUAUUUCAAGUUAUGAUUGUAUAGUGACAUUUAUUAGAUUGGGUAAGGCAUGAUUCUAACAAUGAAUUGGCUUAGUGCAGUUUGUGACUUAUUGUUGAAUUUUGUGUUAGUAUGUAUAAUAAUAAAUUAUGCUCUAGUCAUUUGA
This 3763-nucleotide unclassified non-coding RNA is filed under the name Homalodisca vitripennis (glassy-winged sharpshooter). RNAcentral describes it as "protein ROP, transcript variant X3". The record is from RNAcentral. Lineage: Eukaryota; Metazoa; Arthropoda; Insecta; Hemiptera; Cicadellidae.